This 794-nucleotide ribosomal RNA is filed under the name uncultured archaeon. RNAcentral's name for it is "bacterial SSU rRNA". It matches the Rfam family "Archaeal small subunit ribosomal RNA", at positions 85 to 879 of the family's 1478-position model. The record is from RNAcentral.
ACGGCUCAGUAACACGUGGACAACCUACCCUUAGGACUGGGAUAAACCUGGGAAACUGGGUAUAAUACCGGAUAGGGCUCGGAUGCUGGAAUGCACCGAGCCUUAAAGCUCCGACGCCUAAGGAUGGGUCUGCGGCCUAUCAGGGUAGUAGUGGGUGCAAUGUACCUACUAGCCUACGACGGGUACGGGUCGUGAGAGCGAGAGCCCGGAGAUGGAUUCUGAGACACGAAUCCAGGCCCUACGGGGUGCAGCAGGCGCGAAAACUUUACAAUGCUGGAAACAGCGAUAGGGGGACUUUGAGUGCCAGGAUACAAUCUUGGCUGUCGUCGUGCCUAAAAAGCACGGCAUAGCAAGGGCCGGGCAAGACCGGUGCCAGCCGCCGCGGUAACACCGGCGGCUCGAGUGGUAACCGCUAUUAUUGGGUCUAAAGGGUCUGUAGCCGGCUGGAUAAGUCUCUUGGGAAAUCUGGCUGCUCAACAGUCAGGCUUUCAGGAGAUACUGUCCGGCUCGAGACCGGGAGAGGUGAGAGGUACUUCAUGGGUAGGGGUGAAAUCUUGUAAUCCUUGAAGGACCACCAGUGGCGAAGGCGUCUCACCAGAACGGAUCUGACGGCAAGGGACGAAAGCUAGGGGCACGAACCGGAUUAGAUACCCGGGUAGUCCUAGCCGUAAACGAUACUCGCUAGGUGUCGGCCACGGUGCGACCGUGGUCGGUGCCGUAGGGAAGCCGUGAAGCGAGCCACCUGGGAAGUACGGCCGCAAGGCUGAAACUUAAAGGAAUUGGCGGGGGAGCAC